CCACUGGAGGGAGAGGAGGAAGAAGAGUGGAGGGACAGAAGGAUCAGACGGAGCAGUGUAAAGGGUGAUGUAAAGAGCACGAGCCUGGGAGUCACAGGAUCAGGGUUCUAAUUCUGGCUCCGCCACUUGUAAUAAUAAUAAUUGUGGUAUUUGUUAAGCCCUUACUAUGUGCCAGACAAUGUAUUAAGCACUGGAAUGGAUACAAGCCAAACAGGUUGGAUACAGUCCAUGUCCCAUAUGGGGCUCACAGUCUUAAUCCCAGGUUUACAGAUGAGGGAACUGAGUUACAGAGAAGUGAAGCGACUUGCCGAAGGCCACACAGCAAAUGGCAGAACUGGGACUAGAACCUAGGCCUUCUGACUCCCAGGCCUGUGCUCUAUUCACUACACCAUGCUGCUUGUCUCUGUGACCUUGAACAAGUAACAUCACUUCUCUGUGCCUUUGUUACUUCAUCAGUAAAAUGGGGAUUAAGACUGUGAGCCUCAUGAGGGACGUGGGUUGGGUCCAACCUGUAUCCAUAUUCCCCAACACUUAGUAUAGUGCCUGGCACAGUGUAAGCACUUAAAUACCAUACAAAAGGAGGAGGAGGCCACCGACCUGGCCAGAGCAGAGAUCUGGCCCUGCAGAAAGAUGUGCCCUGUGAAUAUUGGGGGCUCCAAGGCACUGGGAGAUCACAGUCUUCAAUAUCUUGACCAACUGAAUCAUUUGAAGGGGGGAUUUGGGAUGCAUUAAAAAUCAACGACUCCUUCCCAAAUGGGGGUUUCUGAUUGUAUGGAAAUGUAAUAUCCAGCAAACAGUUCUUUCUCUGCCCACUGGACGACCAAGCAACAGCCCUGGGAACCCUGCCAUCCUGACAUUACAACAACCAUGUGAGUCACUCUCCGCUCCCCUUACCAGAAACAUAUACUCUAGUGGAUGCCACGAGAUGCUAUCAGCUCACUGGAUUCUACCAUCACUUGGAACAUUAACAACUUUGGAAUGGCAAGAUCAUCAAAACACCCUCAUGACCUCAGUGCAAUUUAGUUGACAGAGGAAUAGGCCUCUUAAGUAGCACAAACUUCCUGGUAUACUCUUUUGAAUAGCGGACUGUGCUUACCAUGGUUGAACCUGUUCAAGGACUAAAUGUGGAGGCUAUGUAGAGAAAAAGCAUCAACUCCAUUCUCCAGAAAGGAACAACUAAGACGCAAAGAACUAAACUGUCCCAGGCCCCCAAGACAUCAGAAGCAGGGCCAAGAAGAGAGCUGAGUCCACCUGACUUCAAAUUGGACCAUUCCAACUCACAGCCCUACAUGGAUCUGAGUCCUCUGUUUGACUCCCUGAUUUUGAGUCUCAUUUUAAUAACAGAAAACUUUGCAUAGUUUUGCUUUUAUGAUUUAAGUGGCCUCUCAACUAGGACUUCACCUUCUGAUGGACAAAAGUGAGUGGAGUCUUUUGAGCAGGACUCAAAAGACUCCAUUAAGCAACACGGCCUGAAGGACAGGGCACGGACCUGGUAGUCAGAGGACCUGGGUUCUAAUCUCAACUCUGCCAACUGCUUGCUGUGUAACCUUGGGCCAGUCACUUAACUUCUCUGUGCCUCAGUUACCUCAUCUGUAAAACGGGUAUUAAAUCCUCCACCCUCCCACCAAGACUGUCCAUGUGGCACAAGGAUUGUCUCCAACCUGACGAACAUGUAUCUACUUCAGCUCAUAGAAUAUGUUUGACACAUAGUAUGCACUUAACAAAUACCAUUUUAUUCUGUUCCUAAAAGCAAUUGUAAUCAACAACCCACCAGAGAGGAAAAUACAAGAAACAUGGCUGAAUGUACAGUAAAAUUGUGUAUACUGAACUGUCCUCCUUAGUGGAAAAAGAUGCCAAUGGUUAAGCCUACCUGAAGGUGCAAGUGAUGCUGAAUCCAAUGAAAUCUGACUCUGCAAUGUUCCCUUGGCAAGUUGUUGUGUCUGCAGUGCUUGGUGCUAUUUUUGAUUUUGCCUCUUUGAUUCCUGAGGUUUUCAAGGUUUUGGCUCUUUUCUGGAUUGCAGUG
This 2023-nucleotide long non-coding RNA is filed under the name Ornithorhynchus anatinus (platypus). Its description in RNAcentral is "lncRNA (ENSOANG00000043002.1)". Lineage: Eukaryota; Metazoa; Chordata; Mammalia; Monotremata; Ornithorhynchidae. The record is from RNAcentral.